AAUGAACGCUGGCGGCGUGCUUAACACAUGCAAGUCGAACGAGAACGGCCCUUCGGGGUGUCAGCUAAGUGGCGCACGGGUGAGUAAUGUAUAGAUAACAUGCCCUUACAAAGGAAUAACAGUUGAAACGACUGCUAAUGCCUUAUAUGCCUUUAAGACAAAAGUCUGCAAGGGAAGAUUUAUUGGUAAGGGAUUGGUCUGUAUGGUAUCAGCUAGUUGGAGAGGUAAUGGCUCACCAAGGCAAUGACGCCUAACUGGUUUGAGAGGAUGAUCAGUCACACUGGAGCUGAGACACGGUCCAGA
RNAcentral lists this ribosomal RNA (303 nucleotides) under uncultured bacterium. RNAcentral describes it as "bacterial SSU rRNA". It matches the Rfam family "Bacterial small subunit ribosomal RNA", at positions 29 to 335 of the family's 1533-position model. The record is from RNAcentral.